UCCAGACUCCUACGGGAGGCAGCAGUGGGGUCUCUUUCACAAUGUUUUUCCCCCUGAUUCAUCUCCGCCGCGUUUUUUCAGGGGCGUUUCUUCGCGUAAAUCCCUCUCGGCAGGCCCUACUGAGGACGUUCCCUGACUAAGAACCCCCGGCUAACUACGUGCCAGCAGCCGCUGGAAUACGUAGGGGGCAAGCGUUAUCCGGAUUUACUGGGUGUAAAGGGGGCGCAGACGGCAGCGCAAGCCAGGAGUGAAAGCCCGGGGCCCAACCCCGGGACUGCUCUUGGAACUGCGCGGCUGGAGUGCAGGAGGGGCAGGCGGAAUUCCUGGUGUAGCGGUGAAAUGCGUAGAUAUCAGGAGGAACACCGGGGGAGAAGGAGGCCUGCUGGACUGCGACUGACGUUGAGGCCCGAAAGCGUGGGGAGCAAGCAGGAUUAGAUACCCCAGUAC
RNAcentral lists this ribosomal RNA (447 nucleotides) under uncultured bacterium. RNAcentral's name for it is "partial 16S ribosomal RNA". It matches the Rfam family "Bacterial small subunit ribosomal RNA", at positions 330 to 793 of the family's 1533-position model. The record is from RNAcentral.